GACAGAGGUGCCGAGCGUUAGGCGGAAUCACGGGGCUUAAAGCGUGUGUAGGCGGAUCGUUAAGUACCUUGUGAAAUCCCACGGCUUAACCGUGGAACUGCUGGGUAUACUGGCGAUCUUGAGCCACCUAGGGGCAACCGGAACAAAUGGUGGAGCGGUGAAAUGCGUAGAUAUCAUUUGGAACGCCAAUGGUGAAAACAGGUUGCUGGGGGUGUGCUGACGCUGAGACACGAAAGCCAGGGGAGCGAACGGG
Molecule: ribosomal RNA, 253 nt
Filed under: uncultured bacterium
Lineage: Bacteria
Description: partial 16S ribosomal RNA
Rfam family: Bacterial small subunit ribosomal RNA
Source: RNAcentral